GUGAAGAACGCAGCAAAAUGCGAUAAGUAAUGUGAAUUGCAGAAUUCAGUGAAUCAUCGAAUCUUUGAACGCACAUUGCGCCCGCUGGUAUUCCGGCGGGCAUGCCUGUUCGAGCGUCAUUUCAACCCUCAAGCCCCCGGGUUUGGUGUUGGGGAUCGGCUCUGCCCUUCUGGGCGGUGCCGCCCCCGAAAUACAUUGGCGGUCUCGCUGCAGCCUCCAUUGCGUAGUAGCUAACACCUCGCAACUGGAACGCGGCGCGGCCAUGCCGUAAAACCCCAACUUCUGAAUGUUGACCUCGGAUCAGGUAGGAAUACCCGCUGAACUUAAGCAUAUCAAUAAGCGGAGGA
RNAcentral lists this unclassified non-coding RNA (347 nucleotides) under soil metagenome. RNAcentral's name for it is "partial contains 5.8S ribosomal RNA, internal transcribed spacer 2, and large subunit ribosomal RNA". The stretch from base 2 to 119 matches the Rfam family "5.8S ribosomal RNA", at positions 37 to 154 of the family's 154-position model. The record is from RNAcentral.